UACGUAGGGGGCAAGCGUUAUCCGGAUUUACUGGGUGUAAAGGGAGCGUAGACGGCCAGACAAGUCUGAAGUGAAAAUCCAGCGCUUAACGCUGGAAGUGCUUUGGAAACUGCCGGGCUGGAGUGCAGGAGGGGCAGGCGGAAUUCCUAGUGUAGCGGUGAAAUGCGUAGAUAUAUGGAAGAACACCAGUGGCGAAAGCGGCUCUCUGGUCUGUAACUGACGCUGAGGUUCGAAAGCGUGGGUAGCAAACAGG
Molecule: ribosomal RNA, 253 nt
Filed under: uncultured bacterium
Lineage: Bacteria
Description: partial 16S ribosomal RNA
Rfam family: Bacterial small subunit ribosomal RNA
Source: RNAcentral